CCUACGGGAGGCAGCAGUGGGGAAUAUUGGACAAUGGGCGAAAGCCUGAUCCAGCCAUGCCGCGUGUGUGAAGAAGGCCUUCGGGUUGUAAAGCACUUUCAGUGGGGGAGAAAGCCUUGGGGCUAAUACCCUCGAGGAAGGACAUCACCCACAGAAGAAGCACCGGCUAACUCCGUGCCAGCAGCCGCGGUAAUACGGAGGGUGCGAGCGUUAAUCGGAAUUACUGGGCGUAAAGCGCGCGUAGGCGGUCUGAUAAGCCGGUUGUGAAAGCCCCGGGCUCAACCUGGGAACGGCAUCCGGAACUGUCAGGCUAGAGUGCAGGAGAGGAAGGUAGAAUUCCCGGUGUAGCGGUGAAAUGCGUAGAGAUCGGGAGGAAUACCAGUGGCGAAGGCGGCCUUCUGGACUGACACUGACGCUGAGGUGCGAAAGCGUGGGUAGCAAACAGGAUUAGAUACCCGAGUAGUC
RNAcentral lists this ribosomal RNA (465 nucleotides) under Vreelandella stevensii. RNAcentral describes it as "partial 16S ribosomal RNA". It matches the Rfam family "Bacterial small subunit ribosomal RNA", at positions 338 to 795 of the family's 1533-position model. The record is from RNAcentral. Lineage: Bacteria; Pseudomonadati; Pseudomonadota; Gammaproteobacteria; Oceanospirillales; Halomonadaceae.